RNAcentral lists this ribosomal RNA (1521 nucleotides) under Salmonella enterica subsp. enterica serovar Typhimurium. RNAcentral describes it as "partial 23S ribosomal RNA". It matches the Rfam family "Bacterial large subunit ribosomal RNA", at positions 161 to 1637 of the family's 2925-position model. The record is from RNAcentral. Lineage: Bacteria; Pseudomonadati; Pseudomonadota; Gammaproteobacteria; Enterobacterales; Enterobacteriaceae.
AAUCCAUAGGUUAAUGAGGCGAACCGGGGGAACUGAAACAUCUAAGUACCCCGAGGAAAAGAAAUCAACCGAGAUUCCCCCAGUAGCGGCGAGCGAACGGGGAGGAGCCCAGAGCCUGAAUCAGCAUGUGUGUUAGUGGAAGCGUCUGGAAAGGCGCGCGAUACAGGGUGACAGCCCCGUACACAAAAGCGCAUGUGCUGUGAGCUCGAUGAGUAGGGCGGGACACGUGGUAUCCUGUCUGAAUAUGGGGGGACCAUCCUCCAAGGCUAAAUACUCCUGACUGACCGAUAGUGAACCAGUACCGUGAGGGAAAGGCGAAAAGAACCCCGGCGAGGGGAGUGAAAAAGAACCUGAAACCGUGUACGUACAAGCAGUGGGAGCACCCUUCGGGGUGUGACUGCGUACCUUUUGUAUAAUGGGUCAGCGACUUAUAUUCUGUAGCAAGGUUAACCGUAUAGGGGAGCCGGAGGGAAACCGAGUCUUAACCGGGCGUUAAGUUGCAGGGUAUAGACCCGAAACCCGGUGAUCUAGCCAUGGGCAGGUUGAAGGUUGGGUAACACUAACUGGAGGACCGAACCGACUAAUGUUGAAAAAUUAGCGGAUGACCUGUGGCUGGGGGUGAAAGGCCAAUCAAACCGGGAGAUAGCUGGUUCUCCCCGAAAGCUAUUUAGGUAGCGCCUCGUGAAUUCAUCUCCGGGGGUAGAGCACUGUUUCGGCUAGGGGGCCAUCCCGGCUUACCAACCCGAUGCAAACUGCGAAUACCGGAGAAUGUUAUCACGGGAGACACACGGCGGGUGCUAACGUCCGUCGUGAAGAGGGAAACAACCCAGACCGCCAGCUAAGGUCCCAAAGUCAUGGUUAAGUGGGAAACGAUGUGGGAAGGCCCAGACAGCCAGGAUGUUGGCUUAGAAGCAGCCAUCAUUUAAAGAAAGCGUAAUAGCUCACUGGUCGAGUCGGCCUGCGCGGAAGAUGUAACGGGGCUAAACCAUGCACCGAAGCUGCGGCAGCGAACGUAUCACCCAAGACAACUUUACGGAGUUGACGAUUGACGGAGCGAAGCGACGUCAAAGCGUUCAUUAAAGUCGAGUUGGCUUAGGGAUACGUUCGUUGGGUAGGGGAGCGUUCUGUAAGCCUGUGAAGGUGUGUCGUGAGGCAUGCUGGAGGUAUCAGAAGUGCGAAUGCUGACAUAAGUAACGAUAAAGCGGGUGAAAAGCCCGCUCGCCGGAAGACCAAGGGUUCCUGUCCAACGUUAAUCGGGGCAGGGUGAGUCGACCCCUAAGGCGAGGCCGAAAGGCGUAGUCGAUGGGAAACGGGUUAAUAUUCCCGUACUUGGUGUUACUGCGAAGGGGGGACGGAGAAGGCUAUGUUGGCCGGGCGACGGUUGUCCCGGUUUAAGCGUGUAGGUGUGUGUUCCAGGUAAAUCCGGUUCACUUUAACACUGAGGCGUGACGACGAGGCACUACGGUGCUGAAGCAACAAAUGCCCUGCUUCCAGGAAAAGCCUCUAAGCAUCAGGUAACAC